GCCUCCGUAGCUCAGUGGAUAGAGCGGCCGCCUCCUAAGCGGCAGGUCGCAGGUUCGAUUCCUGCCGGGGGCACCA
Molecule: transfer RNA, 76 nt
Filed under: Solimonas terrae
Lineage: Bacteria; Pseudomonadati; Pseudomonadota; Gammaproteobacteria; Nevskiales; Nevskiaceae
Also listed under: 2 other names
Description: tRNA-Arg
Rfam family: tRNA
About the family: Transfer RNA (tRNA) molecules are approximately 80 nucleotides in length. Their secondary structure includes four short double-helical elements and three loops (D, anti-codon, and T loops). Further hydrogen bonds mediate the characteristic L-shaped molecular structure. tRNAs have two regions of fundamental functional importance: the anti-codon, which is responsible for specific mRNA codon recognition, and the 3' end, to which the tRNAs corresponding amino acid is attached (by aminoacyl-tRNA synthetases). tRNAs cope with the degeneracy of the genetic code in two manners: having more than one tRNA (with a specific anti-codon) for a particular amino acid; and 'wobble' base-pairing, i.e. permitting non-standard base-pairing at the 3rd anti-codon position.
Source: RNAcentral